RNAcentral lists this ribosomal RNA (253 nucleotides) under uncultured bacterium. RNAcentral's name for it is "partial 16S ribosomal RNA". It matches the Rfam family "Bacterial small subunit ribosomal RNA", at positions 524 to 776 of the family's 1533-position model. The record is from RNAcentral.
UACAGAGGUCCCAAGCGUUGUUCGGAUUCACUGGGCGUAAAGGGUGCGUAGGCGGUCGGGUAAGUCUGAUGUGAAAUCUCACAGCUUAACUGUGAAACUGCAUUGGAUACUAUCCGGCUUGAGGAAUGGAGGGGAGACUGGAAUACUUGGUGUAGCAGUGAAAUGCGUAGAUAUCAAGUGGAACACCAGUGGCGAAGGCGGGUCUCUGGGCAGUAACUGACGCUGAGGAGCGAAAGCGUGGGGAGCGAACAGG